ACGAACGCUGGCGGCAUGGUUUAGGCAUGCAAGUCGUGCGUGAACCGGGGAGCANCCCCGGGGAAAGCGGCGGAAGGGUGAGUAUUAUAUAGAUAACUUGCCUCCUAGAUUGGGAUAAUCCUCUGAAAAGAGGCCUAAUACCGAAUGUGGAGAUUAAGGCGCCUGCCUUUUUCUUUAAAGCUGGGGACCUUCGGGCCUGGCACUAGGAGAGAGAUCUAUAUCCUAUUAGCUUGUUGGUGAGGUAACGGCCCACCAAGGCAAUGAUGGGUAGCCGACCUGAGAGGGUGCACGGUCACACUGGGACUGAGACACUGCCCAGACUCCUACGGGAGGCUGCAGUCGCGAAUCAUUCGCAAUGGGCGAAAGCCUGACGAUGCAAUGCCGCGUGGACGAUGAAGGCCUUCGGGUUGUAAAGUCCUUUCGGGAGGUAGAAAACGCCCUGUACUAAUACUACAGGACUUGAUUUAAACUCCUAAAGAAGCUCCGGCUAACUCUGUGCCAGCAGCUGCGGUAAUACAGAGAGAGCGAGCGUUGUUCGGAAUCACUGGGCAUAAAGCGCACGUAGGCGGCUUGUGAAGUUGAUGGUGAAAGCCUUGGGCUUAACUCAAGAAUGUCCAUCAAAACCAACAAGCUUGAGGGUGGGAGGGGUGACUGGAAUUCCUGGUGGAGCGGUGAAAUGCGUAGAGAUCAGGAGGAACGCCGGAGGCGAAAGCGAGUCACUGGUCCAUACCUGACGCUGAGGUGCGAAAGCUAGGGGAGCAAACAGGAUUAGAUACCCUGGUAGUCCUAGCUGUAAACGAUGGGUACUAGGAUGGGGUGCAUCAAGCGUCCCAUUCGGAGCUAAUGCAUUAAGUACCCCGCCUGGGGAGUAUGGUCGCAAGGCUAAAACUCAAAGGAAUUGACGGGGGCUCACACAAGCGGUGGAGUAUGUGGUUUAAUUCGACGCAACGCGCAGAACCUUACCCGGCCUUGACUUGUAAGAAUUAUGGAGGUGAAAGCCUCCAGACACCCGCAAGGGCGGAACUUACACAGGUGUUGCAUGGCUGUCGUCAGCUCGUGUCGUGAGAUGUCGGGUUAAGUCCCAUAACGAGCGAAACCCUUGUCUUUAGUUGCCAGCGGAUAAUGCCGGGGACUCUAAAGAGACUGCCUGUGUUAAGCAGGAGGAAGGUGGGGAUGACGUCAAGUCCUCAUGGCCUUUAUGGCCGGGGCUACACACGUACUACAAUGGACAGCACAAAGGGUAGCCAAGCAGUAAUGCGGAGCCAAUCCCAAAAAUCUGUUCUCAGUUCGGAUAGAAGGCUGCAAUUCGCCUUCUUGAAGCCGGAAUCGCUAGUAAUCGCGGAUCAGUACGCCGCGGUGAUAUGAUCCUGAGCAUUGUACACAC
Molecule: ribosomal RNA, 1384 nt
Filed under: uncultured bacterium
Lineage: Bacteria
Description: bacterial SSU rRNA
Rfam family: Bacterial small subunit ribosomal RNA
Source: RNAcentral